CAGCCGCCGCGGGAACACGUAGGUGGCAAGCGUUGUCCGGAAUUAUUGGGCGUAAAGCGCGCGCAGGCGGAUCAGUCAGUCUGUCUUAAAAGUUCGGGGCUUAACCCCGUGAUGGGAUGGAAACUGCUGAUCUAGAGUAUCGGAGAGGAAAGUGGAAUUCCUAGUGUAGCGGUGAAAUGCGUAGAUAUUAGGAAGAACACCAGUGGCGAAGGCGACUUUCUGGACGAAAACUGACACUGAGAGACGAAAGCUAGGGGAGCAAAUGGGAUUAGAGACCCGAGUAGUCCCUGUCUCUUAUCCA
Molecule: ribosomal RNA, 301 nt
Filed under: uncultured bacterium
Lineage: Bacteria
Description: partial 16S ribosomal RNA
Rfam family: Bacterial small subunit ribosomal RNA
Source: RNAcentral